GUACACGCUGUGACUAGCAUAUCAAUAAGCGGAGGAAAAGAAACUAACAAGGAUUCCCCUAGUAACGGCGAGUGAAGCGGGAAGAGCUCAAAUUUGAAAUCUUAAAGGGUUUCCCUUUACGAAUUGUAGUUUAAAGAAGUGUUUUCUGUUGAGGUUUUGGUAAAAGUUCUUUGGAAUAGGACAUCAUAGAGGGUGAGAAUCCCGUAUUUGACCCUUACUUUCAACUUUGUGAUACACUUUCAAAGAGUCGGAUUGUUUGGGAAUGCAGUCCAAAAUGGGUGGUAAAUUUCAUCCAAAGCUAAAUAUUGGCGAGAGACCGAUAGCGAACAAGUACCGUGAGGGAAAGAUGAAAAGAACUUUGAAAAGAGAGUUAAACAGUACGUGAAAUUGUCAAAAGGGAAGCGUUUGACACCAGUGUUGUUUUUCUGAAAAUCAAUUAAAGAACUGUUUAUGCUAAGUUGUUUAGACUUUAUCAGCUAACUGUUUAGUUUUGAGCUUUUCUUUAAUGCACUUUUCAGUUAACAAGUCAACAUCAAUUUCUUUUGCUGUAAAAAAGCUUGAGGAAGGUGGCUUGAGAUUCGUCUUAAGUGUUUAUAGCCUCUUGCCUAUGCAGUCGGAGAGAUUGAGGUCUGCAGCGUAGAUCCUUCGGGGCUAAAUGCAUUUGUGCUAAGUUAUAGCAUUUUAUAGACAACUUGUUGACUAUGAUUUGUCUUGUAGCUUACUCGCUUAUGUUAUUUUACCUACGCUUAGGAUGUUGAGUCGUAGAGCACGCAGA
Molecule: ribosomal RNA, 775 nt
Filed under: uncultured Neocallimastigales
Lineage: Eukaryota; Fungi; Neocallimastigomycota; Neocallimastigomycetes; Neocallimastigales
Description: partial large subunit ribosomal RNA
Rfam family: Eukaryotic large subunit ribosomal RNA
Source: RNAcentral